This 253-nucleotide ribosomal RNA is filed under the name uncultured bacterium. RNAcentral's name for it is "partial 16S ribosomal RNA". It matches the Rfam family "Bacterial small subunit ribosomal RNA", at positions 524 to 776 of the family's 1533-position model. The record is from RNAcentral.
UACGAAGGGGGCUAGCGUUGUUCGGAAUUACUGGGCGUAAAGCGGGUGUAGGCGGAUCUUUAAGUCGGAGGUGAAAGCCCAGGGCUCAACCCUGGAAUUGCCUUCGAUACUGGAGAUCUGGAGUGUGGGAGAGGUGAGUGGAAUUCCGAGUGGAGAGGUGAAAUUCGUAGAUAUUCGGAGGAACACCAGAGGCGAAGGCGGCUCACUGGACCACUACUGACGCUGAGACCCGAAAGCGUGGGGAGCAAACAGG